Molecule: long non-coding RNA, 2330 nt
Filed under: Eucalyptus grandis
Lineage: Eukaryota; Viridiplantae; Streptophyta; Magnoliopsida; Myrtales; Myrtaceae
Description: long non-coding RNA (EGRA_LNC003420)
Source: RNAcentral
CCAGGCCGAGCGAACCAGCCCCGUUCGCUUCUGUUCCAGCCGCUGUUCCGCCCAUCUCUGGCCGCCUCCGGCCACCGCCAACGCCGCCGGACCUCCCCCGCGACCCCCUCGCCCUCCACUGGCUUUCCCCCGCCGCCCUAGCCGCCGGAGCUGCUUUGUUCAGCCGCGACCAGCAAGACCCACGAAGUGGGUUUCAGCCACUUCGGGCCCGCUUUUGGGCCGUUUCCCGGCCCCGGAUCCGCGAGUCGCUUUGGGAACAAUCGUUCCUCGCGUCGCCGCCAUCGGAUUGAUCCGAUUUGCGCGCGAUUUGGUGAGUAAUCUCACUAAUCCAGGAUUAGUGGCUAAUUAUGCUUUAAGUUGGUUUAGAUUUAAUUAAUUAUGUUUAGGUUGUUAGAUUAGAUUUACUGAGCAAUUAUUAGUCAAUUGUGAUGCCAAUUAGAUAAAUUGAUUGUGUAAUUAGCAAGUAGACAUGGUCUACUAAUUAUUGGAAGUGUCUCGGGAUUUUUCCCGACCCUUAGUGGGCUCCAAUUAGGCUUUUCGUGCCUAAGUGGAUAUUUUUAGUAUUUAAAUAUUAAUUUUCGGAAUUAAAUUAAAUAAUUAUUUAUUUUCCGAAAAUUCAACUGAGAUGGCCCGGGACCGGAAUAUUGUGCUGAUGAUUGUGCUGAAGUCCGUUUAUUUAAUCGGGCUUUAAUUUGAGCUAAAUGGGAUUUUUAAUAUUAAUUAUUGAAUAUUUGAAAUUAAAUUAAAUAAUUAUUUAUUUUCUGAAAAUUCAACUGAGAUAGUCUGGAACCGGAAAAUUAUGCUGAUGACCGUGGUGAAGUCCGUUUAUGUAAUCGGGCUUUAUUUUGAGCUAAAUUGAAUUUUUAAUAAUAAUUAUUUAAUUUUCGAAAUUAAUAAAUAAAUAAAUUAUUUUUCGGAAAUUAAGAUUUUGAUGGCCGACGACCGAAAUCUCGUGCUGAUCGUCGUGGCGCAGUCCGUUUAUUUAUUUGAGCUCUACGUUGUAUGGAAUUGAAUAAAUUGUGAUAUUUUAGGGAUUUACCCUAAAUUGAUUGGAAUUGAUUGAGAUUGAAUUGUUGAUUGAUGAAUGGCCAAGUAUGUUUAUUCAGCAUUUAUAGUGCUUUGUUGAGUUGUAAAGGGAGUAGAAUGAUGAGAGUGAAUCAGAAGUACUCUGGGAUUGAACCAAUCAGACACGGUGUAUGGACCUACGUGGUUCGGUGAUUGGGACAUCACUGGCGAAAACGGCGCCUUAAAGAACGCACGUAUCGGUCUAGUACUCACAUUGUUAUAGGCAUGUAUGGUUCGGUGACUAAGGGUGUCACUGGCGAAAACGGCGCCUUAAAGAACGCAUACACUUGUCUAUUAAAUACAUUGUUAUAGGCAUGUGUGGUUCGGUGAUUUGGGAUAUCACUGGCGAAAACGGCGCCUUAAAGAACGCACACAAUUGUCUAGUGAGUACAUGGUUAUAAGCAUGCGUGGUUCGGUGAUAAGGACAUCACUGGCGAAAACGGCGCCUUAAAGAACGCACGCAAUUGUCUAUUGAUAAAAUCAUUGUAGGCAUGUGUGGUUCGGUGAUUUGGGAUAUCACUGGCGAAAACGGCGCCUUAAAGAACGCACGCAAUUGUCUAGUGGAUAAGUCACUUUGUGAACGUGACGCCCGAGAGUAUUGACCUAGAAUGGUCCGCCUGACAUAUAAUCGACUAGAUCGAUUGAUUAUUGCUUUGAUUUGAUGUUGUGAACUGAUUGGCUGAAUGGAAAUGACUGUGAGGGGUCUUGUUGGCAUAUAAUCGACUAGGUCGAUUUGAUCGAUGCUUCCAUCGAUGUUAUGACUGUUUGGGUGCCUAUGUUAAAUUGUACUGACUUGCAGGUGGGAUCAGAGGCCAAGGUAAGUCCUCUGCCCUGUGCGUGUUUAGGCAGCCUGUAGUAUAAUAGUUUAUCUAAUCGGGCUUAGUGGGGUAGAACUCGCUGAGACGUAGUCUCAUCCCAGUUUGGGGAAAACCAUUUCAGGACCCCGCUGAAGAGCUGAGGAGGAGGAAUCCGAGAAGGAGAACUCGGAGGUGAGAUCUGAAGAAAAGGACUUUUGGAAGAAGAAGACAAUUUUGAGAGGGGCCUUGAGUACGGCCUAGUUCAUCUAAGUUUCUGUCUUCUUUUGAGAUACCCGUUUUGAUGUGAAUAGUUAUGAAAGGGUUUGUGGUUUGUAUAAAAGUGUUGUUAUAAAUUUCAAUAUGAAAAAUAUGGCCCUGCUUUUCUAUCCCAUCGUUUUAUUGUCUGGGGAUUUUAACUGUUUCCGCAUGUGCUAAUAAAUGAAAUGGUCGGCGAUACAUUGUCCUGGG